Molecule: microRNA, 23 nt
Filed under: Polistes canadensis
Lineage: Eukaryota; Metazoa; Arthropoda; Insecta; Hymenoptera; Vespidae
Also listed under: 1 other name
Description: pca-miR-124-5p
Gene: pca-miR-124-5p
Source: miRBase by way of RNAcentral
UGCGUUCACUGCGGGCUUCCAUG